AAUCAACGCUGGCGGCGUGCCUCAGACAUGCAAGUCGAACGAUUAAAGCUCUCUUCGGAGAGUGCAUAGAGUGGCGCACGGGUGAGUAACACGUAAGUAAUCUACCUUCGAGUGGGGAAUAACGUCCGGAACGGACGCUAAUACCGCAUAAUGCAGCGGCAUCGCAAGAUGACAGUUGUUAAAGGAGCAAUCCGCUUGAAGAGGAGCUUGCGGCAGAUUAGCUUGUUGGUAAGGUAACGGCUUACCAAGGCUACGAUCUGUAUCCGGUCUAAGAGGACGGUCGGACACACUGACACUGAAUAACGGGUCAGACUCCUACGGGAGGCAGCAGUCGGG
This 336-nucleotide ribosomal RNA is filed under the name uncultured bacterium. RNAcentral describes it as "bacterial SSU rRNA". It matches the Rfam family "Bacterial small subunit ribosomal RNA", at positions 32 to 359 of the family's 1533-position model. The record is from RNAcentral.